RNAcentral lists this ribosomal RNA (324 nucleotides) under uncultured Anaeroplasmataceae bacterium. RNAcentral describes it as "bacterial SSU rRNA". It matches the Rfam family "Bacterial small subunit ribosomal RNA", at positions 28 to 339 of the family's 1533-position model. Lineage: Bacteria; Bacillati; Mycoplasmatota; Mollicutes; Anaeroplasmatales; Anaeroplasmataceae. The record is from RNAcentral.
GAUGAACGCUGGCGGCGUGCCUAAUACAUGCAAGUCGAACGAGACGGAAGGGAGCUUGCUCCUUGAUGUCUAGUGGCGAACGGGUGAGUAACACGUAGGUAACCUGCCUUACAGUUUGGGAUACCCAAGGGAAACUUUGGCUAAUACCGGAUAAAUGAUCGGGAGGCAUCUCCUGAUUCUAAAAGGGGCCUUUAAAGCCUCGCUGAAAGAUGGACCUGCGGCGCAUUAGCUAGUUGGUGAGAUAACAGCCCACCAAGGCGAGGAUGCGUAGCCGACCUGAGAGGGUGAACGGCCACACUGGAACUGAGACACGGUCCAGACUCC